CAGGAACUACCACAAAAGCUGAGGCAAUGCUUAUGAUUAUGAGCCAUGCAGCAAAGCAUAAAAUAACUGGUUGCCAGUUGCAUGAUCUAUUGCAGCUGAUAAAUCAAUUGUUUGGGCAAGAGGUUGUACCCCGAUCCAAGUAUCUUUUUAACAGAGUGUUUAAAAACAGUUGUGAGGAAGUAGAAUUCCAGCUCUACUGUGAAAAAUUGUAACUCAAAUAUUGGAACAACCCAGGAAAUCAAUGACAGACAAAUGAAUGAAUGCAGAUCGUGUGGCAGCACUUUUGAGUUUGGGUCUAUGAAUGGUGGUAACUUCUUCAUCAAUGUUCCUCUUGCUCCACAAAUUCAGACUCUGCUUGAAAGCACAGAAGUGAGUGGCCAUCUUAACUACAGGUUUGAUAGGCAGAAGAGCCAUAAUGAGAUGCUGUCAGACAUCUACGAUGGGGAGAAGUACAGGGAGUUGUCUGGCCCAAAUCAGAUCCUCUCAGAUUCUCACAACUUGUCAUACAUAUUUAACUCAGAUGGAAGCCCUGUCUUUAAUUCAUCAAAAAUUCUCUAUAUGGCCCAUCCACAUCAUGAUCAAUGAGCUUCCACCUGAAAUUAGGUUUAAGCAUGUUUUGCUUGCUGGCCUUUGGUUUGGUCCAAAAGAGCCUUUGAUGGAAGUCUUCCUUAAGUCAUUUGUGGACCAGGCCAAGACUCUAGCUGACACUGGUGUCUCAUGGCUUAAAGAUGGGUCGGUUAUCAACAGCAAAAUAGUUGGCCUCUGUUGUAGUGUUGAUUCCAGAGCAAGACCACUGAUGCAAAACACUACCCAGUUUAAUGGCUAUUAUGGCUGUGGAUUCUGUCUGCAUCCUGGGAAGCUGGUUGAUAAAGUAGUUAAAUAUCCAGUUUCAGCAGAAGAAUACUGUGACAGAACAAAUGAGGACAUGGUCAGGGAUAUGGAGUUGGCUCUGGAAGUGAGGACAAGCAUUAGGGGCACAAAAGGUCCUUCUCCUUUAAUCAACUUGCCAUACUUCGAUGUUGUCUGGGGUUUUGUCCCAGACUACAUGCAUGCAGUUUUACUGGGGGUUUCAAGACAGUUGACAAGACUCCUUUUUGAUACUUCUUCAUCCACCCAGCCAUAUUAUGUAGGCAGUCCUGCCACUUUGAGAGAGAUAGAUGCUAGAGUUGUUGGUAUCCAGCCUCCACACCUGAUUACUCGACUGCCUAGAGGGUUGUCAGAUAGGAUGCACUGGAAAGCCUCUGAGUGGCGAUCCUGGCUCCUGUUCUACAGCCUACCAUGCCUUGAAGGAAUUCUUC
Molecule: long non-coding RNA, 1298 nt
Organism: Cyprinus carpio carpio
Lineage: Eukaryota; Metazoa; Chordata; Actinopteri; Cypriniformes; Cyprinidae
Source: Ensembl